This 378-nucleotide unclassified non-coding RNA is filed under the name plant metagenome. RNAcentral's name for it is "partial contains 5.8S ribosomal RNA, internal transcribed spacer 2, and large subunit ribosomal RNA". The stretch from base 1 to 105 matches the Rfam family "5.8S ribosomal RNA", at positions 50 to 154 of the family's 154-position model. The record is from RNAcentral.
GAAAUGCGAUAAGUAAUGUGAAUUGCAGAAUUCAGUGAAUCAUCGAAUCUUUGAACGCAGCUUGCGCUCCUUGGUAUUCCUUGGAGCAUGCCUGUUUGAGUAUCAUGAAAUCUUCAAAGUAAAUCUUUUGUUAACUCAAUUGGUUUCUACUUUGGUAUUGGAGGUCUUUGCAGUUUCACACCUGCUCCUCUUUGUUCAUUAGCUGGAUCUCAGUGUUAUGCUUGGUUCCACUCGGCGUGAUAAGUUAUCUAUCGCUGAGGACACUGUAAAAGGUGGCCAAGGUAAAUGCAGAUGAACCGCUUCUAAUAGUCCAUUGACUUGGACAAUACUUUUAUGAUCUGAUCUCAAAUCAGGUAGGACUACCCGCUGAACUUAAGC